UACGGGGGGGGCAAGCGUUGUUCGGAAUUACUGGGCGUAAAGGGCUCGUAGGUGGCCAACUAAGUCGGACGUGAAAUCCCUCGGCUUAACCGGGGAACUGCGUCCGAUACUGGAUGGCUUGAGUUUGGGAGAGGGAUGCGGAAUUCCAGGUGUAGCGGUGAAAUGCGUAGAUAUCUGGAGGAACACCGGUGGCGAAGGCGGCAUCCUGGACCGACAUUGACGCUGAACGGCGAAAGCUAGGGGAGCAAACGGG
Molecule: ribosomal RNA, 253 nt
Filed under: uncultured bacterium
Lineage: Bacteria
Description: partial 16S ribosomal RNA
Rfam family: Bacterial small subunit ribosomal RNA
Source: RNAcentral